GUACUUCAAGUUAAGCUGACCAGCGUUCUUUUCUCAUGGGGGCCUGGUGAGUCUCUGGGAGUAGUACAUGUAGCCAGAUGCUUGUACCGGCUUCCGUGAGGACCCCUGGAGACAGAC
This is a small nucleolar RNA of Mesocricetus auratus (golden hamster), 117 nucleotides long. Its record names the gene SNORA70. It matches the Rfam family "Small nucleolar RNA SNORA70". From Rfam's summary of the family: snoRNA U70 seems to be exclusive to mammals and is a member of the H/ACA class of snoRNA which contain H (ANANNA) and ACA box motifs. The record is from Ensembl. Lineage: Eukaryota; Metazoa; Chordata; Mammalia; Rodentia; Cricetidae.